UGGGGAAUUUUGGACAAUGGGCGCAAGCCUGAUGCAGCGACGCCGCGUGAGGGAUGACGGCCUUCGGGUUGUAAACCUCUUUCAGUAGGGAAGAAGCGUAAGUGACGGUACCUGCAGAAGAAGCCACGGCUAACUACGUGCCAGCAGCCGCGGUAAUACGUAGGUGGCAAGCGUUGUCCGGAUUUAUUGGGUUUAAAGGGUGCGUAGGCGGCCUAUUAAGUCAGUUCUGAAAUAUCCCGGCUUAACCGGGAGGGUGGGAUUGAUACUGAUGGGCUUGAGUGGAAUCGAGGUAGGCGGAAUUGACGGUGUAGCGGUGAAAUGCUUAGAUAUCGUCAAGAACACCGAUAGUGUAGACAGCUUACUAGACUUCAACUGACGCUGAGGCACGAAAGUGUGGGGAUCAAA
This 405-nucleotide ribosomal RNA is filed under the name uncultured bacterium. RNAcentral's name for it is "bacterial SSU rRNA". It matches the Rfam family "Bacterial small subunit ribosomal RNA", at positions 355 to 772 of the family's 1533-position model. The record is from RNAcentral.